This 253-nucleotide ribosomal RNA is filed under the name uncultured bacterium. RNAcentral's name for it is "partial 16S ribosomal RNA". It matches the Rfam family "Bacterial small subunit ribosomal RNA", at positions 524 to 776 of the family's 1533-position model. The record is from RNAcentral.
UACAGAGGUGGCAAGCGUUGUUCGGAAUUACUGGGCGUAAAGGGCGCGUAGGCGGCCUACUAAGUCAGACGUGAAAUCCCCCGGCUUAACCUGGGAACUGCGUCUGAUACUGGAAGGCUUGAGGAUGGGAGAGGGAAGCGGAAUUCCGGGUGUAGCGGUGAAAUGCGUAGAUAUCCGGAGGAACACCGGUGGCGAAGGCGGCUUCCUGGACCGACACUGACGCUGAGGCGCGAAAGCUAGGGGAGCAAACGGG